RNAcentral lists this ribosomal RNA (419 nucleotides) under bacterium. RNAcentral describes it as "partial 16S ribosomal RNA". It matches the Rfam family "Bacterial small subunit ribosomal RNA", at positions 355 to 776 of the family's 1533-position model. The record is from RNAcentral.
UGUGGGAUAUUGCACAAUGGGCGAAAGCCUGAUGCAGCGACGCCGCGUGGGGGAUGAAGGCCUUCGGGUUGUAAACUUCUUUUGCUCUGAACAAGGCGCACCAUGGGGUGUGUUGAGUGUAGGGGUUGAUUAGCGCCGGCUAACUACGUGCCAGCAGCCGCGGUAAUACGUAGGGCGCGAGCGUUGUCCGGAAUUAUUGGGCGUAAAGGGCUUGUAGGUGGCUGGUUGCGUCUGUCGUGAAAGCUCAUGGCUUAACUGUGGGUUUGCGGUGGGUACGGGCUGGCUUGAGUGCAGUAGGGGAGGCUGGAAUUCCUGGUGUAGCGGUGGAAUGCGCAGAUAUCAGGAGGAAUACCGGUGGCGAAGGCGGGUCUCUGGGCUGUUACUGACACUGAGGAGCGAAAGCAUGGGGAGCGAACAGG